GAUGAACGCUGGCGGCGUGCCUAAUACAUGCAAGUCGAACGCAUUGAGAGAAGUGCUUGCACUUUUCAAUUUGAGUGGCGAACGGGUGAGUAACACGUGGGCAACCUACCUGAUAGCGGGGGAUAACGAGUGGAAACAUUCGCUAAUACCGCGUAACAAUAGAGAAGGCAUCUUCUUUAUUUAAAAGGCGCUUUCAAGCGUCACUAUCAGAUGGGCCCGCGGUGCAUUAGUUAGUUGGUGGGGUGAAGGCCCACCAAGACGAUGAUGCAUAGCCGAGUUGAGAGACUGAUCGGCCACAUUGGGACUGAGACACGGCCCAAACUCCUACGGGAGGCUGCAGUAGGGAAUCUUCCACAAUGGACGAAAGUCUGAUGGAGCAACGCCGCGUGUGUGAUGAAGGCUUUCGGGUCGUAAAGCACUGUUGUAUGGGAAGAAAUGCUAGGCUAGGAAAUGAGCUUAGUUUGACGGUACCAUACCAGAAAGGGACGGCUAAAUACGUGCCAGCCGCCGCUGUAA
This 516-nucleotide ribosomal RNA is filed under the name uncultured bacterium. RNAcentral's name for it is "partial 16S ribosomal RNA". It matches the Rfam family "Bacterial small subunit ribosomal RNA", at positions 28 to 523 of the family's 1533-position model. The record is from RNAcentral.